UACGUAGGGUGCAAGCGUUGUCCGGAAUUAUUGGGCGUAAAGAGCUCGUAGGCGGUUUGUCGCGUCGGCUGUGAAAAACUCGGGGCUCAACCCCGAGCCUGCAGUCGAUACGGGCAGACUAGAGUGCUGUAGGGGAGACUGGAAUUCCUGGUGUAGCGGUGAAAUGCGCAGAUAUCAGGAGGAACACCGGUGGCGAAGGCGGGUCUCUGGGCAGUAACUGACGCUGAGGAGCGAAAGCGUGGGGAGCGAACAGG
Molecule: ribosomal RNA, 254 nt
Filed under: uncultured bacterium
Lineage: Bacteria
Description: partial 16S ribosomal RNA
Rfam family: Bacterial small subunit ribosomal RNA
Source: RNAcentral